RNAcentral lists this ribosomal RNA (253 nucleotides) under uncultured bacterium. Its description in RNAcentral is "partial 16S ribosomal RNA". It matches the Rfam family "Bacterial small subunit ribosomal RNA", at positions 524 to 776 of the family's 1533-position model. The record is from RNAcentral.
UACGAAGGGGGCUAGCGUUGCUCGGAAUUACUGGGCGUAAAGGGAGCGUAGGCGGGUCGUCAAGUUGGGGGUGAAAGCCCAGGGCUCAACCUUGGAAUUGCCUUCAAAACUGACGAUCUAGAGUAUGGAAGAGGUAAGUGGAACUCCGAGUGUAGAGGUGAAAUUCGUAGAUAUUCGGAAGAACACCAAUGGCGAAGGCAGCUCGCUGGGACGUGACUGACGCUGAGACGCGAAAGCGUGGGGAGCAAACAGG